AACCGUUAACGGUGGAUCACUCGGUUCGUGCAUCGAUGAAGAACGCAGCAAAAUGCGAUACGUGAUGCGAUUCGCAGCGCUUGUGAGAGUCAUCGAAACUUUGAAUGCAACUGGCGUCCUGGAACACUCGUUCUAGGACAUGUCUGGUUGAGGUCG
Ribosomal RNA from Amblyraja radiata (thorny skate), 156 nucleotides. RefSeq annotates it as 5.8S ribosomal RNA. NCBI's taxonomy places the organism in Eukaryota, Metazoa, Chordata, Chondrichthyes, Rajiformes, Rajidae. The transcript has a single exon. The record is from RefSeq and is a predicted model, not a curated record.